UACGGUGGCGAGAGGAGGAAAGAGAGAGAGAGAGAGAUGAGAACAGACUACCUCACGUUCCGCCGCUCGCUCAGCGGGAGCAGCCGGGGGAGAAGAAGGUACCUGUCGACGCCGCGGCCGCCCGGCGCCCGCUGUCAGAGGUGCCGCAGCAGGACGAUGGCCGGCCGCUAGCCGUCCCCGGAUUCGUGCCUGGAAGUGGAGCCCGAGUCGGACGCCAGUACGAGGAGGAGGAAGGUGUGCCGGCUGCCGCAGAGGCGAAGGUGAGGUUCCAGAGAGAUGUCUGAGCAUUAAAAUAGAUUUUUAAAUUGGAAGAACAAGUAGUAAACGUAGCCAGCCAGAGACCGAGGAGAGACGUGUAGUUGGCUACGUAGCUAGUUGGGCAAAGAAUCCUCGUGGGACUGCUGCUGCUGCUGCUACUCCGGUUGCCGCGGCAGCAGACUAGGCCGCGUGGUCUCUCCUCCUCCGCCGCCGCCGGUACCCGUCGCCAGCGACAAACACUUCCACAUGUACCUCCCGCAGGGGUAGCCGGCCUUCGACCUAGACGACGACGACCUGCCGAUGCUGUCUGAGGAGCGGCAGGAUCCGGCGUACAAGUUCCGGAGGUAGUAUGUAGGCCUAUGACAGCCGGCACUAGUGGCUCACCAAGAACCCCUCUUCGUCCGAGCGGUACAACAGUGAAUAGUUCUGGUCCUCCCCCUGACCAACUACCGGCCCCUGCAUGGCACCCUCAUACCGAGGUGAGACUUAAAGUCUGUAUAGUGAAGAAGGUAGAAUGUUAUUAAGGUGUCUUAACUCAAACUUGAUAGCUGGUUACUACGUUUUGCACACCUACUACGAAGUCCCUUAGUCUAAUUUAACGCGAGAUGUAGAAACAGCUUGAAUAAAGAUCUCCUAGAAACACCUCUAGAAUUUAUUAAUAAAAGGAAGUUAUUAAGAAACCCGUCCGAUAAGGACCGCCCACACUUCUUUAACUUCUAACGUUCCCACCUGUCAUCGUGGAGACUAACUAAGUUGCUCCCGCUGAGUACACCGGAGGUAAGGACCCACACGAACCUAAAGUAAUUAAGUAAAUACCCCCUAAUUCUACUCUACCAAUAAAGAACCACUUCAGCCGACGAAGUAUCACAUGUCAGACGUUUUCACACCCUGUAUAAGGACUUUUUUUUCCUCGUUGUGUAUAUAUUAUGGAAAAAGAUUUUGAUAAAGCGAAGUUUAAACUAGCAAAUAAAAGAGGAGAUACCGACUGUGAUACUUAUAUCUAGUUCAUGGCCCGAACGAUUUUGAGUCAGUUGACCCUAAAUUGGUUCAGAAUCAGCUGACGUAUCAGUAAUCUGUAAACGCAUCUCUAAGUACGACCUGACUCGUGGCAGGUUGUUUGGGGCGUUGUAAAACAGGGUGGCAAACGUUAUAUAGGAAGAUGGCCAACGUCGUAGAUAGAACGACCAACAUCAUAUAGCAGAGUGGCCCGUGUUGUAAACGGGAGCAGUUAACAUCGUGCAGCAGGGCGGUCAGCGUGGUAGGCGGUAACUACCAACGUCGUAAAUCAGUGUUGUUUACAUCGCAGACAACAGUAACGAGC
Molecule: ribosomal RNA, 1579 nt
Filed under: Triticum aestivum (bread wheat)
Lineage: Eukaryota; Viridiplantae; Streptophyta; Magnoliopsida; Poales; Poaceae
Description: partial small subunit ribosomal RNA
Source: RNAcentral